Molecule: ribosomal RNA, 465 nt
Filed under: Vreelandella stevensii
Lineage: Bacteria; Pseudomonadati; Pseudomonadota; Gammaproteobacteria; Oceanospirillales; Halomonadaceae
Description: partial 16S ribosomal RNA
Rfam family: Bacterial small subunit ribosomal RNA
Source: RNAcentral
CCUACGGGAGGCAGCAGUGGGGAAUAUUGGACAAUGGGGGCAACCCUGAUCCAGCCAUGCCGCGUGUGUGAAGAAGGCCCUCGGGUUGUAAAGCACUUUCAGUGAGGAAGAACGCCUGGUGGUUAAUACCCAUCAGGAAAGACAUCACUCACAGAAGAAGCACCGGCUAACUCCGUGCCAGCAGCCGCGGUAAUACGGAGGGUGCGAGCGUUAAUCGGAAUUACUGGGCGUAAAGCGCGCGUAGGUGGCUUGAUAAGCCGGUUGUGAAAGCCCCGGGCUCAACCUGAGAACGGCAUCCGGAACUGUCAAGCUAGAGUGCAGGAGAGGAAGGUAGAAUUCCCGGUGUAGCGGUGAAAUGCGUAGAGAUCGGGAGGAAUACCAGUGGCGAAGGCGGCCUUCUGGACUGACACUGACACUGAGGUGCGAAAGCGUGGGUAGCAAACAGGAUUAGAUACCCCAGUAGUC